This 237-nucleotide ribosomal RNA is filed under the name uncultured bacterium. RNAcentral describes it as "partial 16S ribosomal RNA". It matches the Rfam family "Bacterial small subunit ribosomal RNA", at positions 105 to 334 of the family's 1533-position model. The record is from RNAcentral.
CCGGCACGGUGAGUAACACGUAUCCAACCUGCCGUCUACUCUUGGCCAGCCUUCUGAAAGGAAGAUUAAUCCAGGAUGGCAUCAUGAGUUCACAUGUCCGCAUGAUUAAAGGUAUUUCCGGUAGACGAUGGGGAUGCGUUCCAUUAGAUAGUAGGCGGGGUAACGGCCCACCUAGUCAACGAUGGAUAGGGGUUCUGAGAGGAAGGUCCCCCACAUUGGAACUGAGACACGGUCCAA